UUGUAACUGUGUGGUUUAUAAUAGCUAAAACAACUGUGUCAAUAGUGUAAUUUAAGAUUAUAAUGUAUAAUUUCGUUUUUUAGAAAACACUUUUUUAAGCUUCGCAACACAUUUUAUAUUAAACAUUAGUGUCUUAAGCAGCUUAAAAAAACAGAGCAGGGAGACUGAAUCUGCAGUAAAAGAGAAUAUUCCUCNCCAUUGAUUCAUGACAGGUUAAGCCUGCCACUGUGCUUAACGGAGUCAACUCUUUUAAGAAUCAGUUCGCUGUUCUGAAUCAGUUUCUCUCUGUUGGCGCGCGGAUACUCUCUCUCUCAGCGGCAGUGCAGGUUAACCAGCGCCACAGCUCGAGCCACUGACCUUCUUUCUUCACUCUGAGGUAAGUCUACAGUAUUAACGUGUCACACAAGCAGUCGUUUAAUCACAAGGUUUUGAACCAGCGGCUACACUUCACGGGUAAACAUUCAUGUGAGAAUGGCUAGUUACGUUCUCAAAUAGUGAAAUAAUUAGAUAACGAUUUAUUUUAUUUCUUUAGUUUGACUAUUGACAACAGCUAACCAACGUUAGCUUACGUUAGCUAACCUCUUAGCUAACCUACCUGUGUAUCUAGCUAGCCAGUUACAUAGCUAACGAGGUUUUUACACAUAAUUACAGUAAUCUGUAUAAAGAAUAUAUGUGACAAAGCAAAAUGUAUGUUAUGUCGCAUGGAGUUGCUGUUAAAUAUAACAUUGGAUUUUUAGCGAGCUAGCUGAUUUUAGCUGUGCAACCAUCCUGCGUUUCCUUCAUUAUGGUUGCGCAUUGUGUUAGCAAUGGGUUAUGAUUCUGACUCACGUUCAGAUCCGUUUUACUGACGGUAAAUCCGCAUUACAGUCCGUCUCAUUUCCCGCCUUCCAUACGACUUCAGCAUGGAGUCAGAUACCAGAUGUGAGUUCAGUGGCAGUUCAGCGUCGUUUUGCGGAUCCGGGCCGCAUCGGCGGAGCGGCACAGGAGCGGGAGAAGUUCAAACUCAGCGCGAGGACCAACUGCCAUCUGCUGAAUCUGCGCCUCAGGAGACUUCAUGAACAAAAGUACAGAGGCUUUACCACACGAUGAAAAUCACUAUUAAUGAGGUGACUAAGACUGAAUAUAGACUCAUGGUACAAAUAUUAACAUUUACCAAUGUGAUGGAAAAGAU
This 1171-nucleotide long non-coding RNA is filed under the name Astyanax mexicanus (Mexican tetra). Its description in RNAcentral is "lncRNA (ENSAMXG00005020013.1)". The record is from RNAcentral. Lineage: Eukaryota; Metazoa; Chordata; Actinopteri; Characiformes; Acestrorhamphidae.